This 456-nucleotide ribosomal RNA is filed under the name uncultured bacterium. RNAcentral describes it as "bacterial SSU rRNA". It matches the Rfam family "Bacterial small subunit ribosomal RNA", at positions 32 to 498 of the family's 1533-position model. The record is from RNAcentral.
AAUCAACGCUGGCGGCGUGCCUCAGACAUGCAAGUCGAACGAUUAAAGCUCUCUUCGGAGAGUGUAUAGAGUGGCGCACGGGUGAGUAACACGUAAGUAAUCUACCUUUGAGUGGGGAAUAACCCGGGGAAACCCGAGCUAAUACCGCAUAAUGCAGCGGCAUCGCAAGAUGACAGUUGUUAAAGGAGCAAUCCGCUUAAAGAGGAGCUUGCGGCAGAUUAGCUAGUUGGUAAGGUAAUGGCUUACCAAGGCUACGAUCUGUAUCCGGUCUAAGAGGACGGUCGGACACACUGACACUGAAUAACGGGUCAGACUCCUACGGAGGCAGCAGUCGGGAAUUUUGGGCAAUGGCGAAAGCCUGACCCAGCAACGCCGCGUGAAGGAUGAAGUAUUUCGGUAUGUAAACUUCGAAAGAAUAGGAAGAAUAAAUGACGGUACUAUUUAUAAGGUCCGGCU